AUUGAACGCUGGCGGCAUGCCUAACACAUGCAAGUCGAGCGCCCCGCAAGGGAGCGGCAGACGGGUGAGUAACGCGUGGGUAUCUACCGUACCCUACGGAACAACAGUUGGAAACGACUGCUAAUACCGUAUACGCCCUACGGGGAAAGAUUUAUCGGGGUAUGGUGAGCCCGCGUUGGAUUAGCUAGUUGGUGGGGUAA
RNAcentral lists this ribosomal RNA (200 nucleotides) under uncultured bacterium. RNAcentral describes it as "partial 16S ribosomal RNA". It matches the Rfam family "Bacterial small subunit ribosomal RNA", at positions 30 to 260 of the family's 1533-position model. The record is from RNAcentral.